Long non-coding RNA from Ahaetulla prasina, 2641 nucleotides. RefSeq lists it as uncharacterized. The record is from RefSeq and is a predicted model, not a curated record. The transcript has 3 exons. NCBI's taxonomy places the organism in Eukaryota, Metazoa, Chordata, Lepidosauria, Squamata, Colubridae.
GGUGUGGGGGCUUCUCCAAGACUCACGACCCUCUUCAGAGACUCUGUUCUGUGGCUUGCAAAGCGGUGGUUAAUAGAGUGUUUCUCAAAAUGUCCCCCCAGGACCCUUGUGGGAGGGGGUCCCCCAGGACUUUUGGGUGUGGGGGCUUCUCCAGGACCCACGACCAUCUCAGGGGUCCAUGAAAUCAAAACAAUUAACCAGCUUACCUCGAAAAAAAUAGCUCCCCAUCCUAUAAGGGUGAGAAGCAGCAGCGAAUGGAUCCAUUUUAAUUAUUAAUCUGAAUGUUGAUGAAGAUUUUCAGUCAUCCAGAUCAUAGUUGUCCCCACGGUGCUUUCUCAAGAGGCAACUGGACUUCCUUGUUAACAAGGAACUCGAAAAACACCUUUGGGACAUCUCAUUGCAGGAUCUGCUGCAGACGGAUCAAUCUGGUCUGAUGGAUGAUUUCAAUGCUGUUGGUAAUAUUCAUAUUCCCCCAGGAGGUGGCGCUAAAAUUCCAUUUCCACGAAGCGGGAGGUUGAAAGAGACUCCACCAUCCUAUAAUCCUUUCCCCAAGGUGUUGCUUAAACACAUCUACCAAAUGUUGUAGGUUAUGUGUUUCUGUAACCACACCCACUGUCCUACUGCCCAUUUUUAUUAGAAAGUUUUCCCUUCCUUUAACCAGGACCUGCCUUCCUGGAAUUUAGUAUAACUUAGUAUAUUGUUCCAUACCCUGUACAGAUCGUCCUUAACUCACAAAGGUUAUAGUGACUAUUCAAGUUACAAAAGUACUGAAAAAUGUGAUUCAUGGCUGCUUUUCACAUGUCCAUUGCAGCAUCCUCAUGGUCGUGUGAUCAAAAUUCAGACAUUUUGGCAACUGGCAGGUGUUUUUUGAGGAUUGCAGUGCCUUUAGCAAUCUUCCGACAAGCAAAGUCAAUGAAGAAGCCAGAUUCAUUCUUAACCAUUUUAGAAUCGAAUCGAAUCAAAUAGAAUUUUUAUUGGCCAAGUGUGAUUGGACACACAAGGAAUUUGUUACUAACAACUGCAGUGGUUCACUUAACAACUGUAGCAAGAAAGAUCGUAAAAUGGAGCAAAAUUCACUUAAUGACUAUCUUGCUUAGCAAUGGCAAUUUUGGGCUCAAUUGUGGUCGUAAGUUGAGGACCGCCUAUACUCUGAAGACAAACAGGCCCCAGCAUGCUUCUCUAGGACAUUUUCAAGCGCUUGAAGAAUGUUAACCAUAUUCCUGAUCAGUCUUGCGUUUGACAUCUAAACAUACUCAUUUUCUUCACAAUCUCUGAAGCCCCGAGUUCCAAUCCCACUAGUCAUCUCCUCUUCUGACCCUGUUUUAUUUUCCCCAACUGCUUCUUGAAAAGCAAUGACAAGAAUUGAAUCCUUUCUGAAGUCUGUAUCCGACCUAUGUGUAAUAUAUUAAAUGUAUUACUUUCCAGUAUUUGAUACUUAUUUGUUGAUGCAGCCUAAAAUAGCAUUUGCCUUUUUCACAGCAGACUCAUAGUUCUGAUUCAUACUUAGCUGGCAAUCUAUUCUGAACUGAGCACAUUUUCAGACGGACUCUUACCAAGCCUGUUCAAUACCUGUUUGUUGCUUUUUUUACCUAAAAGAAGAACAGGAGUGUAUUGUCAUCAAAAUAUUUUUGCAAGCUGUUGGACGGAGGAGAAAGUUCUUGCAGCACAGACAGUUUUGGCUAAGUUACCAAGCGUCUUCCUUUUUCUAGAGAAAUGGAUCUCCAGUGCCUUCCUUUUUCUGGAGAAAUAGAUUAUUCUUAAGAAUUAGCUUCCUCAACAGCUAUGAAAUAACGGUCUCAAAAAAGAAAAACAUGCUACUUUUCUCUAGAGAGCUGGUGGGACAGGAUACAGUCCUUGUGUGUGUGUGGGGGGGGGUAUGCGCACUGGAUAAACUUUGAUGGGGGUUUCCCCCACUUCUGUAACUGCAACAGCCACAUAGUUUUGAACUGUUGGGUCUAAUUGAGUAAUAUUUCCCAUCCUGAAUCAGAAUAUAACACAAAUAUGUUAAUGAAGACUAAAAAGAGGAUAUUUGAAGGGGCUUCACACUGCUUGAAAUAGGCCCAACUUACUUUGGAAGGGAAAGAGAAGGGAAGGAGAACCGGACAGACAUCCAAAAAGCAAUGUUAGAUUUGGGAUUGAAGUUUAGUUAUGUCAGGGACAAGCAUUCUGAACCACAAGUGUAUAGUCUCAAGCGGAAGCUUUAUUGUUAGCCACCUGUGUUACAAGAAUCUCACCAGACUCUCUGCCUUCCCCUGAGAACAGUUCAGAUCUGGCCCCGCCAGCAGCAAAGGACUGGCCCGUGGUGCCUCUGCCAGUGAAAACAGAGCUCAGGAGAGCUGGCGCAGCCCUCCCUGGCUCCGUUUUUGGCUGCGACGACCUCCUGCAGUCUUCUGCCAGCAAGAACUGGAGGCCAUCAAAGCCAAAAACUGAGCUCAGGAGCCCAUUUUCACUGGAGGAGCACUUGGGCCGCCACAGGCGCCCCCAACAUGAGUGACGUCAAGUUGGCCACGCCCACCCUGGCCACAUCCACCUCAUUGCGCCCCCCUCCCCCGUGAAAUCAAACGCCAUCCUGAUGCAGCCCUCACUGAAAUCAUGUUUGACACCCACCCCCCCGAGAUAAAGGCUUCAGAGAUUCUGGGGA